CUCCGUGCCAGCAGCCGCGGUAAUACGGAGGGUGCGAGCGUUAAUCGGAAUUACUGGGCGUAAAGCGCAUGCAGGUGGUUUGUUAAGUCAGAUGUGAAAGCCCGGGGCUCAACCUCGGAAUUGCAUUUGAAAACUGGCAAACUAGAGUACUGUAGAGGGGGUAGGAAUUUCAGGUGUAGCGGUGAAAUGCGUAGAGAUCUGAAGGAAUACCGGUGGCGAAGGCGGCCCCCUGGACAGAUACUGACACUCAGAUGCGAAAGCGUGGGGAGCAAACAGGAUUAGAUACCCUGGUAG
Molecule: ribosomal RNA, 294 nt
Filed under: uncultured bacterium
Lineage: Bacteria
Description: partial 16S ribosomal RNA
Rfam family: Bacterial small subunit ribosomal RNA
Source: RNAcentral